Molecule: ribosomal RNA, 431 nt
Filed under: uncultured Cronobacter sp.
Lineage: Bacteria; Pseudomonadati; Pseudomonadota; Gammaproteobacteria; Enterobacterales; Enterobacteriaceae
Description: bacterial SSU rRNA
Rfam family: Bacterial small subunit ribosomal RNA
Source: RNAcentral
UGGGGAAUAUUGCACAAUGGGCGCAAGCCUGAUGCAGCCAUGCCGCGUGUAUGAAGAAGGCCUUCGGGUUGUAAAGUACUUUCAGCGAGGAGGAAGGUGUUGUGGUUAAUAACCACAGCAAUUGACGUUACUCGCAGAAGAAGCACCGGCUAACUCCGUGCCAAGCAGCCGCGGUAAUACGGAGGGUGCAAGCGUUAAAUCGGAAUUACUGGGCGUAAAGCGCACGCAGGCGGUUUGUUAAGUCAGAUGUGAAAUCCCCGGGCUCAACCUGGGAACUGCAUUUGAAACUGGCAAGCUUGAGUCUCGUAGAGGGGGGUAGAAUUCCAGGUGUAGCGGUGAAAUGCGUUAGAGAUCUGGAGGAAUACCGGUGGCGAAGGCGGCCCCCUGGACGAAGACUGACGCUCAGGUGCGAAAAGCGUGGGAGCAAAACA